AAGCAAUUGAACGAAGGUGCUUAACUCAGGCUGAGGUACCCCGUUUGCGAUCGUGGGAUCUGAUUUUUGGGGCAGGGCACAAGCGGUGAGUAAAGUGGCUGCGCCGAGGCCACACAGCGUGUUGCUAAUGGCCUUCAACAUGUUUAACCGUCUCCUCAACCAACAGCUGCGCGUCUACCGAACAUUGCGCCAACUCACUC
This 200-nucleotide ribosomal RNA is filed under the name uncultured eukaryote. RNAcentral's name for it is "partial 18S ribosomal RNA". The record is from RNAcentral.